GUAGGUGGCAAGCGUUGUCCGGAAUUAUUGGGCGUAAAGCGCGCGCAGGCGGUUCUUUAAGUCUGAUGUGAAACGCCCACGGCUCAACCGUGGAGGGUCAUUGGAAACUGGAGAACUUGAGUACAGAAGAGGAAAGCGGAAUUCCACGUGUAGCGGUGAAAUGCGUAGAGAUGUGGAGGAACACCAGUGGCGAAGGCGGCUUUCUGGUCUGUAACUGACGCUGAGGCGCGAAAGCGUGGGGAGCAAACAGGAUUAGAUACCCUGGUACGUCCACGCCGUAAACGAUGAGUGCUAAGUGUUAGGGGGGUUUCCGCCCCCCUUAGUGCUGCAGCUAACGCAUUAAGCACUCCGCCUGGGAGUACGGCCGCAAGGCUG
Molecule: ribosomal RNA, 375 nt
Filed under: uncultured organism
Description: partial 16S ribosomal RNA
Rfam family: Bacterial small subunit ribosomal RNA
Source: RNAcentral